This 759-nucleotide small RNA is filed under the name Schizosaccharomyces pombe (fission yeast). RNAcentral's name for it is "small heterochromatic RNA precursor". Lineage: Eukaryota; Fungi; Ascomycota; Schizosaccharomycetes; Schizosaccharomycetales; Schizosaccharomycetaceae. The record is from RNAcentral.
UCCAUUUCUUUCUUAUACGCUAAUUCACUAUUAAAUAGAAAUGUAUAUGCAAAACAGCGAGAAAUUUGUAGAUACGUUGAAUGUUGUUGCUUUCACAUUUGCAACUCUUAGUAGUUGUUCAAAACAACAAUGUCGAGCAAAGAUGUUUGCGAUGUUUGAAUGAUUCUUGGAUUGUAUUUGGAUUCCAUCGGUACUAUGGCCUGUUGAUUCGGCACCUUUGUCAUUUUAGCAACUUUUGUUUUCUUUUCUGUGUCGAUGUAGUUCUCUAUACCAUAUUCAUGUUCAUAUCAAUGUCCAUAUCAAGGUCCAUAUCAAUGUCCAUAUCAAUUUCCCAUGUUCCAUUACAUAUCCCGUGUUCUUUCCUUCUUCCAGCUUUUACAUGCUAGCCUUUUAUACAAUGAUUCCUCUCAUCUCGACUCGUUUGAUGAAUGGGCGUUUAGUUUUUGCAACAACAUAUGCGUUGGGUUAUCUCANAUCGGGAAACACUUUCUGCCACUUUUAACUUGAACAAAGUUGGAGAAAUAAAGUGAUGGCAGAUAUUGCAAGUUGUUUAUAGUGUGCCUGUAGAAAUGUAAAAACGCUAUGUUUCGUGAAUGNCCAGCCUGUAAUUCGAAAUAAGAUUUCGUAUUUAUUAAGCAUUGGAAGAUCNCAAUUGUGACUUUGUGGGUUUCGUAAAGAACAUCAUAUAGAUUUCUUUGACCANGUGUAUAAAGCAAAACACNCGGACAUAGUANGGAUAUGGACNCNGCAUGGGUAUGC